ACAAACAAACCCUGAACCCAAAAU
This 24-nucleotide non-coding RNA is filed under the name Gossypium hirsutum (cotton). Lineage: Eukaryota; Viridiplantae; Streptophyta; Magnoliopsida; Malvales; Malvaceae. The record is from RNAcentral.